This 711-nucleotide long non-coding RNA is filed under the name Gallus gallus (chicken). The record is from RNAcentral. Lineage: Eukaryota; Metazoa; Chordata; Aves; Galliformes; Phasianidae.
CUCAGAAACUCCCUGCAGCCAGAGACUGGAAUCGCCACGUUUAGGUAGGCACUCCGUUUGAGUUGCCACACUGUUCCUUGCUAGAGCUUUCUGCCUAACGGAGACCAUUGCGAGACUGUUGUUUGGAAAGCAACUGACAGAUGAACCCCUCUCCUGAGAAGGCAGAGAUAACACACCGACAGAACUCCCCGGGCAAACUGCCUGCGCUACGCCGCUGCUCCUGGCUCCACCCCCACGACGGCCGAACGCCGCUGCCACGCGGAGGCCAAUGGCGCCCGGCAGCUGAGCCCUGGGGGGAGGUUACUUCUCAGCCAGCCGAGGCGGUUCCCUGCUUUGGCGCGAAAUGGCUCGUUCCGCUUUACCAGUGUUUCUUAGAGUGGUGUGAGGUUUAUUAGUAGUACUGUUAUUAUUACGUGCCCUGUUUGCAGAAAGGUAGAGUGUGAAUUAUUUAUUCUCUCAUUGCACCAGUACGAGAAGCAUUACAAAAGCAGGAUACGUUCAGCUUAAGUUCCCCUUCCUUGAGUUUGUAAGACGUGCAGCUGGUUUACUCAGUGUGCUUUCACCCUCCCAACUUUUGCUGUUCAUGAAUUCUGGUCUUCCGAAGCCCAGUUCCCACUGAGAUGACUUGAAUCUUCUAGCAGAAAAUGAGCUGGAUGUCAAAUCACCAAUAGCACAGUGCAUUCCUCCUGGAGAUUUGGUUUGGAUUAUGAC